This 26-nucleotide non-coding RNA is filed under the name Mus musculus (house mouse). The record is from RNAcentral. Lineage: Eukaryota; Metazoa; Chordata; Mammalia; Rodentia; Muridae.
UGCUCCCACCAGGUCGAAUGACGUUA